GAUGAACGCUGGCGGCGUGCCUAAUACAUGCAAGUCGAGCGAACAGACGAGGAGCUUGCUCCUCUGACGUUAGCGGCGGACGGGUGAGUAACACGUGGAUAACCUACCUAUAAGACUGGGAUAACUUCGGGAAACCGGAGCUAAUACCGGAUAAUAUAUUGAACCGCAUGGUUCAAUAGUGAAAGACGGUUUUGCUGUCACUUAUAGAUGGAUCCGCGCCGCAUUAGCUAGUUGGUAAGGUAACGGCUUACCAAGGCAACGAUGCGUAGCCGACCUGAGAGGGGGAUCGGCCACACGGGAACUGAGAAACGGUCCAGACUCCUACGGGAGGCAGAAGUAGGGAAUCUUCAGAAAUGGGCGAAAGCCUGACGGAGCAACGCCGCGGGAGUGAUGAAGGUCUUCGGAUCGUAAAACUCUGUUAUUAGGGAAGAACAAAUGUGUAAGUAACUAUGCACGUCUUGACGGUACCUAAUCAGAAAGCCACGGCUAACUACGUG
Molecule: ribosomal RNA, 497 nt
Filed under: uncultured bacterium
Lineage: Bacteria
Description: partial 16S ribosomal RNA
Rfam family: Bacterial small subunit ribosomal RNA
Source: RNAcentral